CGUUACUUACCGGCUUGUGAGCGCCUCCCUUAAACUCACUCUUACAACACAAAAAACAAGUUUGGACAAUAUUUACGAUCUACGACUCUCACUGCUUGCCCGUAUGGAGAUGUGAUUCAUUUUUUUUAUCCAGUCUGACUGAUCUGUGCUUUUAAGUGUACUGUGAAGACGGAGCAUAUGUGAACUUUCAACGGCAUGCAGAGGAAUUAAGCAGCCGGGUGAUCGGAGCGUCGAGGCUGGAUCGCUCUGAAAUCCAACCCGCGGAUUGAGGCCUAAAUUCCCAAAGCGGAUACAUGAUUGUGUUGAUCAGUUGACAUGAGGAAAGAAGAUACUGAACCGAGUCAGGACGGUUUUGCUGCCGAUCGUUUGAGACAGGUCCUCCUCCAGCCCUGAAUCCAGCAUGACGGAGGUCCAGGCCACUGUGGAGUUCUCUGUGGAGCUCCACAAGUUCUAUAAUGUGGAUCUCUUCCAAAGAGGGUUCUAUCAGAUCCGAGCCAGUAUGAAAGUGCCCCCACGGAUCCCGCAGAGGGUGGAAGCCAGUCUGCUGCAUCCCAUAGGUUCGGAUCUGGCUUUCCCAGCAGCAGUUCAAGAUGAUGUGGUCUGCAGCAAAACCUUUCAGAUCCUUUAUAAAAACGAGGAGAUUGUAGUCAACGACGUCCUCGUAUUCAAAGUGAUGAUGCUGCUAGAUGCAAAGAAGGUGGAAGAGUCCUUAAAUGAAAUGGACUUUCAGAUGUCGUUGGACCUGUACUUCACCGAUGGCGACUACUCGCCCGAGGACCCAAGUUCUCUCCAGAGCAUCAGCAGUCGAAUACUGCGUUUGCACUUUAGCCUCCACAGAGGCAUUCAUCAGCACGUCAAUGUCAUGUUUGACUACUUCCACCUGUCUGUCAUCUCUGCCACUAUCCACGCAUCACUGGUGGCUCUGCAUCAACCUCUAAUCAGUUUCCCACGGCCAGUCAAAAGCACAUGGCUGAAUCGGAAUGCUCCGGCACAGACCAAAGACUCUCUCAUCCCAACGCUGGAGUCUGUGGUGUUUGGCACCACCUACGUCAAGCAGCUGUCCCCAGAUGGCAAAACCUUCCUGGUAUUGGAUCAGUGCCUACAGCAUGCCUUCAGCCUGCACCAGAACAUGUGUGCCAGCUUGCUGCGGGCAUAUCAGGGUCUGUUCUGCUAUUUAACCUCCCUGACCAAGAAUCUGCCCGCAUCUCAGCGCAUAGAGCUAGCCAAGCCCAGCAUGCAGGUCCUUUAUGAACGAGUUCUCAGAAGACCUUACCCUCGAGGCCAAAGGCACGUCUACAUAGAGGAACUUGAUGUGGAGGCCCGACUUAAUGAGCUUUGUGAACAAGUCAAGCAGAGGGCAGAGAGCCCAGAUGAGUUGGCUGAACUGGUGAACAUGAAUUUGGCGCAGCUAUGCUCUCUGCUCAUGGCAUUGUGGGGGAAUUUCCUGGAAGUGGUGUCCCUGAAUGAGCGUGUCUCUGAGCUGUUGGCCCAGGAGCACCAUACAUUACGGGUGCAAAGAUUUGCAGAAGCUUUCUUUUGUCUUGAACACCCAAGACAGAGUGCCCUGGCCUACCAGGAACUGCAUGCUCACAGUCACCAACAGAUGACCACAGCUAUCAAGAACUCCUCCUACUUCUUGUCCUUGCCACCUCUUCCUGUUGAAUGUGCUGAUCUUGAUGGGGAUGUGAACUCCCUACCAAUCAUCUUUGAGGACAGAUAUUUGGAAUCAGUUACUGAAGAUCGCGAUGGUCCAUGGCUUGGUCUCCACAACAACAGGAGUGGCUCUGUGUCCACUAAAGCAGACAGGUCCAACUCAAAGGACUGUAUUGCUAGUGGAUUGGGAGGCCUUGGUCCGUACCCAGAUAAGCAGCAAGCUGCCCUUGCCACGGCUUGGCCUGAACAAAAUGAGCCUCCCCUCAAAUCCAAAGCCAAAUCUAUCAAGCUGAAGAAGAAUGCCAAGACUGAAAAUUCAAAGAAGCUGAUCAGGCAAAGCUCGAAAGACUCAGUGGUCCUCACAGGCUACAAGAACUUGAAGGUUCCUCAUGGUGAACCAACCACCAAGUCCAAAGAAGUUGACACUCAGUGCAAUCCAAAAGGCGAGCUUGACGAUGUAGGCAAAUACAUCCUCCAGAAUGAAACUGCAACCGCACAUUGUGCUCAGAAUACUAAAGACUGCACCACAAGCGACAUUCAAGGCAACGUCGGUAUCCAGAGUGACAGCUUUUCCAAUCUUUUGAGUUUGCAAAUGCAGGCUAGGCCCCAGGCAGGUACUGGAGCAGAAGCCGCACAAAGUGCAGCUGCCAGAAUUGAUUUGACACAUCCACCUGUUGGGCUCAGACAUAUAGAUGUCAAACCAAGCGACAAGGACCCCUACCAGGGCGAUAAGGUCACCAUUCUCUUACCGCACCACUCAGAUCCAUCCGCCAAGAGGGAUGUUCCAGAGAUCACACAGACCGAUUUCUCUGAAUUCAAGAGCCGAGUUGGGGAUGGUGCCACGUUCAUCGGAGCUUGUGGAGCUGCUUUGAGGAGUGAUUGUGUUCCUCAAGCCUCCUCCAGGCUCUCAGACUCAGGAAUCGAGAGCGAGCCCAGCUCUGCAACACAGCUAGCCUCGUUCUCUCCGUCUCCUUUUGCUUCUACUAGUCUGGAGCCGCCUACAGAUCCGAUUCUACAAAGCGCCCACCAGAGACCAUCUCCGCUCAGCCCUGCCUCCAGAGGAGCCACCGCGUUGGAGGGUCUCAAUCCAGAGAGCACCAGCGGCAUCAGCGGAGUCCAGUCUUCCCUCACCUCCAUUAAUUCGCUCCCCUCGGAUGAUGAGGUUGAGACGGAGGUCACUAGCAGAAAGUCCAGCAUCCUGGUGCAAGAACAGAGCCUCAUAUUUUCAGGAGAAUCUCACAGUCUCGCGUUAUCGAGCUCUAGAGUUUUGACUCCACAAAAAGCCUCCAUCAGUCAAGGAGAUGGGCUGGUGUCUUACAAUGAGGACUCUGCUACCCAGCCCCGCUGUGAAACUAAUGCUCCUGGCAGGCCGACAGGAUCUAGUGAGACCGAUCUUCCAGGUGGUGCAGCUUCGGGGCCAGAAGCAUGUAGUGAGCCUCAGACGGCUGCCCAGUCCAGUACAUCGGUCACCAGCAGCACGGAUCUGGUGAAGAAAGGCUUUGUGGAGAACUACUUUGGCUCCCGUUCCAGCACUGAUAUAUCUGAGAUCAGCCCAUUGGAGACUGCAGCUGUAACGCUGGGGAUUCAGACUUGCACAAAUGCUAAUGACGAAGAGGAGGAGGAGGAGCAGGAUCGUGAGAUGAUUGAGAACGGUUAUUAUGAGGAGACCGAUGGGCUGGUUUAUGUUAAUGGACUCCCAGGGGAGGAAGGAAGGUGUGAGGAUGGGGGAGCAGAGGGAAGGACCCUUUUUUAUGAUCACCUGGGUUUGGAACAGCUCCAGGAAACCUACAUCCCCUCAGCCGGCCUGCAGACAUGGCCUCCUGGACCAGCAUCAGCCAGCAACGACCUGUGCUGGUACAAGAGCACUCCCACUGCUCAGAUGACAGCGUUUGCCCAAGCAAAAGAGGACUUGAAGCAACUAAAGUUACCAGGCUUCCUGUACAGUGAGGUGGCAGAUCUGGCGUCCACUGUGCCAUAUUUCAGCAUGGAUGAGGAUGAAAACUGUGAUGAGGGAAUACAUCUAAUAGUGUGCGUACAUGGUCUGGAUGGUAACAGUGCAGAUCUGCGUCUAGUGAAGACUUAUCUGGAGCUCGGUUUGCCUGGAGCUCGAAUAGAUUUCCUAAUGUCAGAACGCAAUCAGAAUGACACAUUUGCUGAUUUUGAGUCCAUGACUGACAGACUUUUGGAUGAAAUUGUGCAGUACAUACAAAUCUACAACCUCACAGUUUCCAAGAUAAGUUUUGUGGGUCAUUCUCUGGGAAAUCUGAUUGUACGCUCGGUGCUGACGAGGCCCAGGUUUAAGUGUUAUCUCAGCAGACUGCACACGUUUCUGUCUCUGUCUGGACCACAUCUCGGCACGCUGUACAACAGCUCAGCCCUCGUCAAUACCGGGUUGUGGUUUAUGCAGAAGUGGAAGAAAUCUGGCUCUCUGCUGCAGCUGACCUGUCGCGACCACUCUGACCCACGCCAGACCUUCCUCUAUAAGCUAAGCAAGAAAGCUGGUCUUCAGUUCUUUAAGAACGUGGUGCUGGUGGGGUCUCUUCAGGACAGAUAUGUCCCCUAUCACUCUGCUCGAAUCGAGAUGUGCAAAACGGCCUUAAAGGACAAACAGACUGGUCCAGUGUAUGCUGAGAUGAUCGAGAACCUUCUACUUCCUGUGCUUCAGAAGGACUGUAACCUUGUGCGUUACGAUGUCAUCCAUGCGCUGCCCAACACCGCCAACUCCCUGAUUGGCCGGGCAGCCCACAUCGCCGUCCUGGACUCUGAGAUUUUCCUGGAAAAGUUCUUCCUGGUGGCAGGGCUCAAGUUUUUUCAGUAGCCUUGCUAGAUCAGAAGCGAAUACCUCACUGCAAACGGAUGUUUUUCUGGUUAUUUUUUCCUCACAGUUUUAAGUAUGCUCUUGGAGUGUUUUUGCUGCAUGUGGCCUCUUGAAACCAGCUGAUCUUUGGAAUGUGGGGUCACCAUGGAAACUUUAAAAGACCUGAAUGAAAGCAGCCUGUUGAGCAGCACCACCCCCAGCUCUCCAGACUCCCUCUCCGAGUGCCGGACAGUGAUGCGGGAUGAUGUCAUGCGGUCCAGGCAGAGAAAAAGCCAGAGAUCGAAGGUCAUGUGAAUAUGAUCACAGCAGGGGUCACUGGUUGAAAACAGCACACAGCUAUUUUCCUGGGGACCAUUAAGAGGCUGAAAUUGGCAAGACAGCGGACAUCUUUUUGGCACAAUGGAAACAGGAUAAUCCCUUAUGGCCUGUCGUGACCCUUAACAGACCCCACAAACACAAACAGCAUGGCUCAUCUUAUUCUGCAGUAUGAUCAGAUGUUCGGGUGGUUAAUUGUGGGAUGGCGGUGGUCUCCGCUGCCCUGAAUUAGUGUAAUCUCAGACAGGUUAAUGCUGAUCUUGAUUAGUAAUCUGAUUAUGGAUUUAAUCUGACCCAGGCAGGUCCAGGUUGCAUUGUUAUUGCUUAAAGAAGAGGAAACCCUGCUGAAGUGAGGAAAAAAGAUUUCUGCACAGUUUUGCACAUAUGGUGAACAACACGCUGGCACACAGCUGCCCGUUAAUUCAUGAGCAUAUACUGCAGCACACUCACCAUAUUUCACUGGAAAAUAAUCAUAAUUUCCACUAAAAUAAUGUAGCUACUACAUAUAUUGUUGCUGUUUUAAAAUCAUAAACCAAUAUGGGCUUUCUUUCAAUCAAUGUAAAGUUUCAGAA
This is an RNA transcript of Sinocyclocheilus anshuiensis, 5358 nucleotides long. It is a transcript of the gene named protein FAM135A-like, with no coding region annotated. NCBI's taxonomy places the organism in Eukaryota, Metazoa, Chordata, Actinopteri, Cypriniformes, Cyprinidae. The transcript has 24 exons. The record is from RefSeq and is a predicted model, not a curated record.